CCUACGGGUGGCAGCAGUGAGGAAUAUUGGUCAAUGGACGAGAGUCUGAACCAGCCAAGUAGCGUGAAGGAUGACUGCCCUAUGGGUUGUAAACUUCUUUUAUAUGGGAAUAAAACGUUCCACGUGUGGGAUUUUGUAUGUACCAUAUGAAUAAGGAUCGGCUAACUCCGUGCCAGCAGCCGCGGUAAUACGGAGGAUCCGAGCGUUAUCCGGAUUUAUUGGGUUUAAAGGGAGCGUAGGUGGAUUGUUAAGUCAGUUGUGAAAGUUUGCGGCUCAACCGUAAAAUUGCAGUUGAAACUGGCAGUCUUGAGUACAGUAGAGGUGAGCGGAAUUCGAGGUGUAGCGGUGAAAUGCUUAGAUAUCACGAAGAACUCCGAUUGCGAAGGCAGUUCACUGGACUGCAACUGACACUGAGGCUCGAAAGUGUGGGUAUCAAACAGGAUUAGAUACCCCAGUAGUC
This 460-nucleotide ribosomal RNA is filed under the name uncultured bacterium. RNAcentral describes it as "partial 16S ribosomal RNA". It matches the Rfam family "Bacterial small subunit ribosomal RNA", at positions 338 to 795 of the family's 1533-position model. The record is from RNAcentral.